GCGCGUCCCGCUCUCGGGGGCAGCCGCCGGGCCUGCAUUUCUUGCAGCCCUCAAGGCCCCUCGGUGUCAGCGAAAGAGCCCUCAUGUUGUACCUCGGCGCCCCGCGGGAAUGCCCACCCAGCAGAGCCGGCCCACGGGGAGUCAGGCUGCCGGCCCGGGCCCCUAGGCUCCGCCCGCUUCUGGUCAGCGCCCCUCGCCCCCGGCCCGCCUGGCCGCGUCCCAGUCGCCAGGGUUUUCGGCCCGUGGGCCGGGAGAGCUCCCGCCGCGGCCCCGCGGGCGCCGGCCCCCUGGCCUCCACACCCCUAGGUACAGCCCGGGGAGGGCAGGCGGGCCCAGUGUCCAGGGAGGGAGUGCAGGCCAGGCGGGCGCCCUGGGCCAGAGGCAAGCCUGGCGCCGGCAUCCCAGGUUCCCUUGAGGGUCGAGGACCGCCAAACCCUGGGGAGGAGCGGGGGUUUAAACAAUUUAGCUUCUGCUAGGAUGCGAAGCCAAAGGGAGUAAUGGGUGCUGAUGGGCUUCGCAAACGGAGUCCGAAGGAAAUGGAUUGUUAAAGGCGUUCGGGCCCUGCUGCUUUAGUGAAUAGUUCACACCCGUUUUCGCAGCGGAGAUGUCGGCCACUGGGAAGAAUCAAGGACCAAGUUUCUGAUUGGGAUUAGCAGUGACAGCCUGGUCUUUAUCCACUACACAGGUUUCCUGUUGGCGGGGAAAUAAGAGGAAAAAUGGGAAAGGAAAUUCACGAAGUCGAAGUUGUGUGGUUAGAAAGUCCAGCUUUAUGACUCAAGCCUGUCGUGGAAGGGAUGAGAGCAGGACCUGUACCUAGACUUUUUACUUAAUAUUUUGGCACUGCCCUUGUGGUAGGGAAUUUGCAGCGCUCUAGUUGUUAAACUGGAAGGACAUUCAUUCUGCAACUUGUACCUCUUGCUUGAUCUGGGCCCAGAGAUAACUUACAUGUAUCUUCUUUAAACUUAUUUUUCCAAAUUAUUGUGGUUACUUUGAACACAAUUUGUUUCCAGAAAUUUU
Molecule: long non-coding RNA, 1017 nt
Filed under: Homo sapiens (human)
Lineage: Eukaryota; Metazoa; Chordata; Mammalia; Primates; Hominidae
Description: HSALNT0294644
Source: RNAcentral